CACCUGUUCCAAGCCAGUCACCUGCAAACCAUCAGCUCAUCAGCCCUGCAGUAUAUCUACCCCAGUUUUCCAGCCGCUCAUCGCCAGAUUGUUUCACUGCUGCGAUCCAUCACCUGCUCAUCCAGCUGCCAGCCUCUUAUCUGCACGUCCGCCUCUCCACAUCACUGCUGCCUUCAUCUACUGUGGAUCUCCUUGCCCUUGCCAUCAGCCCUCCAUCCAAUACCCCCCCUCUACAAUAAAAGACUUUAUAUCAACAACA
Molecule: non-coding RNA, 259 nt
Organism: Epinephelus lanceolatus (giant grouper)
Lineage: Eukaryota; Metazoa; Chordata; Actinopteri; Perciformes; Serranidae
Source: RefSeq, a predicted model, not a curated record